UACAGAGGCCUCAAGCGUUGUUCGGAAUCACUGGGCGUAAAGGGUGCGUAGGCGGCGCGGAAAGUCAGGGGUGAAAUCCCGGAGCUCAACUCCGGAACUGCAUUGGAUACUGCCUUGCUAGAGUACUGGAGAGGAAACUGGAAUUUACGGUGUAGCAGUGAAAUGCGUAGAGAUCGUAAGGAAGACCAGUGGCGAAGGCGAGUUUCUGGA
Molecule: ribosomal RNA, 210 nt
Filed under: uncultured prokaryote
Description: partial 16S ribosomal RNA
Rfam family: Bacterial small subunit ribosomal RNA
Source: RNAcentral